CUUUUUUAAGAGUUUGAUCCUGGCUCAGGAUGAACGUUGGUGGCGUGCCUGAGAUAUGCAAGUCGAACGUCGCUUGUCCUUCGGACAAGAAAUUCGAAUCUCGAAAUCCGAAAUCAUUAACAAAUUCAAAAUAUUAAUUACUAAGUUCAAAACAAAUAUCGUUUUGAAUUUUGAAAAUUUUAAUUUAGUUUUUGUUUCGAAUUUAGAGUUUAGUAUUUCGAGUUUCUCGACCGGAGGUCGAGCGUAGUGGCGGACGGCUGAGUAACACGUAGGGACUUACCCUAAAAUAGAGAAUAGCUCAUCGAAAGAUGGGGUAAUACUCUAUAAGGGGAAUACCGUCUGGUAUUCCUUAAAGCGCAUAACUGCGCGUUUUAGGAUGGACCUGCGGCCUAUCAGGUAGUUGGUGGGGUAAUGGCCUACCAAGCCUAUUACAGGUAGCUGGCCUGAGAGGGUGUCCAGCCAGAGGAGCACUGAGAUACGGGCUCCACUCCUACGGGAGGCAGCAAUCAGGAAUAGUCGGCAAUGGGCGAAAGCCUGACCGCGCGACGCCGCGUGCGGGAAGAAGCUCUUCGGAGUGUAAACCGCUGUUGUAGAGGAAGAAAUCCGAUUUAAUUUCGGAAUGACGGUACUCUAUCAGAAAGGGGCCGCUAACUGCGUGCCAGAAGCGUCGGUAAGACGUGGGCCCCAAACGUUAUCCGGUUUUAUUGGGCGUAAAGGGUCGUGUAGGCGUCCCGCCAAGUUUCGUUUUAAAGACUAUGGCUUAACCAUAGGAAAGGAUGAAAAACUGGCGGGAUUGAGUUUUCUUUAGGGAGACUGGAACUUAAGGAGAAGUAGUGAAAUGCGUUGAUACCUUAGGGAACACCAGUGGCGAAGGCGAGUCUCUGGAAGGAAACUGACGCUAAGAUACGAAAGCUAGGGUAGCGAAGCAGAUUAGAGACCUGCGUAGUCCUAGCCCUAAACGAAUGCCUGCUAGCUGCAUUUCUCGCCUUUGGCGAGGGGUGUGGCGAAGGUAACCCGUUAAGCAGGCCGCCUGGGGAGUACGGCCGCAAGGUUGAAACUCAAAGGAAUUGGCGGGGAGGCACACAACCAGUGGAACAUGUGGUUCAAUUCGAUACGAACCGAAGAACCUCACCAGGGUUUGACAUGUCGAUGACGUCCUCGGGAAACCGAGGUUUCCGCAAGGACAUCGACACAGGUGCUGCAUGGCUGUCGACAGCUCGUUCCGUGAGGAGUACCCUUAAGUGGGACAACGAGCGUAACCCCUAUCCGCUGUUAAAUCUAUCUGCGGAAACUGCCCCGGCAUUAGUCGGGGAGGAAGGAGGGGCAGACGUCAAGUCAGCAUGGCCCUUAUACCCUGGGCUACACACAUGUUACAAUGGAUAGUAACAACGGGUUUUGCCAGAUCGUAAGAUCGAGCUAAUCCCUAAAAUCUAUCCUCAGUGGGGAUUGAGGUCUGCAACUCGACCUCAUGAACGCGGAAUUGGUAGUAAUCGCGGAUCAGCUAUGCCGCGGUGAAUACGUUCUUGCCUCUUGCACACACCGCCCGUCAAGCCAACAAAGUCGUAAUUAUCUGAAGUUCGAUUUAUUUCGCGCGAAGAUAAUUUCGGCGAUGGGGGUUAAGUCGUAACAAGGUAUCCGUUCUGGAAGGAGCGGAUGGAUCACCUCCUUUCUAA
Molecule: ribosomal RNA, 1673 nt
Filed under: Candidatus Roizmanbacteria bacterium RIFCSPLOWO2_01_FULL_40_13
Lineage: Bacteria; Candidatus Roizmaniibacteriota
Description: bacterial SSU rRNA
Rfam family: Bacterial small subunit ribosomal RNA
Source: RNAcentral